AUUGAACGCUGGCGGCAUGCUUUACACAUGCAAGUCGAACGGCAGCGCGGGCUUCGGCCUGGCGGCGAGUGGCGAACGGGUGAGUAAUGCAUCGGAACGUGCCCAGUAGUGGGGGAUAGCCCGGCGAAAGCCGGAUUAAUACCGCAUACGACCUGAGGGUGAAAGCGGGGGACCGAAAGGCCUCGCGCUAUUGGAGCGGCCGAUGUCGGAUUAGCUAGUUGGUGGGGUAAAGGCUUUCCAAGGCGACGAUCCGUAGCUGGUCUGAGAGGACGACCAGCCACACUGGGACUGAGACACGGCCCAGACUCCUACGGGAGGCAGCAGUGGGGAAUUUUGGACAAUGGGGGCAACCCUGAUCCAGCCAUGCCGCGUGCGGGAAGAAGGCCUUCGGGUUGUAAACCGCUUUUGUUCGGGAAGAAAUCCUCUGGGCUAAUACCCCGGGGGGAUGACGGUACCGGAAGAAUAAGCACCGGCUAACUACGU
This 483-nucleotide ribosomal RNA is filed under the name uncultured bacterium. Its description in RNAcentral is "partial 16S ribosomal RNA". It matches the Rfam family "Bacterial small subunit ribosomal RNA", at positions 28 to 506 of the family's 1533-position model. The record is from RNAcentral.